CGUAGGGUGCGAGCGUUAAUCGGAAUUACUGGGCGUAAAGCGUGCGUAGGCGGUUUGCCGUGUCCUGUGUGAAAGCCCCGGGCUCAACCUGGGAAUUGCAUGGGAAACUGGCAGGCUUGAGUGUGGCAGAGGAGGGUGGAAUUCCGCGUGUAGCAGUGAAAUGCGUAGAGAUGCGGAGGAACACCGAUGGCGAAGGCAGCCCUCUGGGCCAACACUGACGCUCAGGCACGAAAGCGUGGGGAGCAAACAGGAUUAGAUACCCUGGUAGUCCACGCCCUAAACGAUGUCGACUAGGUGUUGGGGAAGCGAUUCCUUGGUACCGUAGCUAACGCGUGAAGUCGACCGCCUGGGGAGUACGGCCGCAAGGUUA
RNAcentral lists this ribosomal RNA (370 nucleotides) under uncultured organism. RNAcentral describes it as "bacterial SSU rRNA". It matches the Rfam family "Bacterial small subunit ribosomal RNA", at positions 526 to 896 of the family's 1533-position model. The record is from RNAcentral.